RNAcentral lists this long non-coding RNA (3172 nucleotides) under Mus musculus (house mouse). RNAcentral describes it as "long non-coding RNA chr5:26092200-26095372". Lineage: Eukaryota; Metazoa; Chordata; Mammalia; Rodentia; Muridae. The record is from RNAcentral.
AUGCUCCAACUCCAUAACUGUUCAGGUCCAUCACCUCAUUACAUUCCUACCCCGUUGAAAAAUAUCUUAAUAAAAACUCCUUCAAAACUCUGCCAAAUUAAAGCACAUCUGAGCAUUAGACUUUGGCAGAGUUUUGAACACUCAAUGCCCAUUGCAAAUUCUUUCUAUCUUAACUCCCUCUUCACAGCCUCCUUCUGACUCUUAAAGGGGUUUGGGUAGGCAGAGACACCUUCCAUUACCUUGCCUCCCCCCGGAGCACAGUCCUGGCCUAUGUAGCCAGCACAAUGACCUGCUUUCUGGCCUUUGCUACCUCUUGUCCCUUCCCAAUCCUAAUGUUGUAAGACUUGGUCCAGAUCUCACGAUCCAGAUCUCUGGCCAACAGGAGAGUUGUUGACCAAUGUCUCUUUCCACUGAGUGGCUCACUAGUCCUGAAAAUAAAAGUGGCUAGCCUUCUCCAUGUCCUGCACACUAAAGAGGUACACAAGCCACAGCCCAGAACACUGCUCUAAUGCCUCCCAUCUCAUGGUAGACAGGGUGAAUACUUUGGUGUGUAUUCCUAACUUUGACCUACUAGCCUAAAAAAACCUCUUCAUUAUUGACCUCCGUGAGCCACAUGAUUGGGACAAUGACUUGGUUAGUAUUCACAUAUGGGUGAAAAUGUCCUUAGAUUUUCACAAGUCUAUACUUGUGAUGGUUUGUAUAUGCUUGGCCCAGGGAAUGACACUAUUAGAAGGUGUCAGAGUAGGUGUGGCCUUGUUGGAGUAGGUCUGUCAUUAUGAGCUUGGGCUUUAAGACCCUCAUCCUAGCUGCCUGGAAGCCAGUAUUCUGCUAGCAGUAUUAAGAUGAAGUUGUAGAACUCUCAGCUCCUCCUGCACCAUGCCUGCCUGGAUGGCACCAUGCUCCCACCUUAAUCAUAAUGGACUAAUUUGAAUCUGAAAGCCAGCCCCAAUUAAAUAUUGUUCUUAUAAGAGUUGCCUCGGUCAUGGUGUCUCUUCCCAGCAGGUAAAACCCUACCUAAGACAAUAAUUAAUAGAACUAGUUUCUAUUCGAAAUAAAGACAUCCUUUCUAUAUUGAAUUGUACAAAAGCCAGAAAGAUCCAUGGACUUUUUGUUGUUGAUGUUAUACCAACAAAUCUCUUUAUUGACAUGUAUUCUAGAAUGUACCCCUCACAUAGCAUCCUCACAGAUUUCAUAAUUUUAUUAACAGUGCUGUGUAUUAAUUUUCUCAUUGCAUUUUCUGUCCUCAUUUUCUUAUAUAUUUCCCUGCACUGUUUAGUUUAAAUGUUUCCCAAUUGUCUUCUUAGUAAAAUAUUGAUGGAAAAAACAUCUUGUAUCACCAAGUAUAAAUACCUCAACCUCUAUUUGUGCUUCAUGAGAUUCUAUUCAUUAGAAAGGGAUGUGUGUGUAUGUAUGUGUAUGUGCGUGUAUGUGUGUUUGUAUGUGUUCUGUGUGCAUGUGUGUGUGUGAUUGUGUAGAUAUACAGAUACACGCACAAAUGUGUGCCCUAAUAGGAUUAUUUCAUUGCUGCUCUUAUAUAUUCCAAGCAUCUAGCAAGGAAUAUUAUUAUGCUAAUGAUUAUGCCUUCUUGCUCAGGAGUCCACAGUCUUCCUAUGUAUAGAGGCAUACACAGGUAUUUAUCCUGAUCUGCACACAUGUGCCUGUCUUCCUGAUCUGAACUAAUGUGCCUGUCUUUAUUUCCUGAUUAUAUAACUUGAAUUUUAUAUGGCCUGGUGAAAGAAAAUUCAAAUUCUCACCUAUAUUAACAAAAUCAUAAAUAAAAUGUCUCAAUCCAUGUGUGUCUUUCACUGUUCUUUUACAAGAUACUUCAGUCAAAUUCCGCAACACACUUUGCCUCAAUCCACUUUUCUUUUUUUUUUAAAUUAGGAAUUUUCUUCAUUUACUUUUCCAAUGGUAUCCCAAGAGUCCCCAAUACCCUUCUUCCCACUCCCCUCCUCCCCACACACUCCCACUUCUUGGCCCUGGUGUUCCCCUGUACUGAGGCAUAUAAAGUUUGCAAGACCAAUGUGCCUCUCUUUCCAAUGAUGGCCGACCUGGCCAGUUUCUGAUACAGAUGCAGCUAGAGACACAAGUUCUGGGGACAGGGGGGUACUGGUUAGUUAACAUUGUUGUUCCACCUAUAGGGUUAGAGACCCCCUUUACCUCCUUGGGUACUUUAUCUACCUCCUCCAUUGGGGGCCGUGUGAUCCAUCUAAUAACUGAUUGUGAGCAUUCACUUCUGUGUUUGUUGGGCCCCUGCAUAGUCUCACAAGAGACAGCUACAUGAGGGUCCUUUCAGCAAAAUCUUGCUAGUGUAUGCAAUGGUGUCAGCAUUUGGUGGCUGAUUAUGGCAUGGAUCCACAGGUAUGGCAGUCUCUAGAUGGUCCAUCCUUUCAUCUAAGCUCCAACCUUGUAUGUGUAACUCCUUCUAAGGGUGUUUUGUUCCUAGUUCUAAGAAGGAGCAAAGUGUCCACAGUUUGGUCUUUGUUCUUCUUGAGUUUCAUGGGUUUUGCCAAUUGUAUCUUGUAUAAUGGGUGUUCUAAGUUUCUGGGCUAAUAUCCACUUAUCAGUGAGUACAUAUUGUGUGAGUUCUUUUGUGCUUGGGUUACCUCACUCAAGAUGGUGCCCUCCAGGUCCAUCCAUUUGCCUAGGAAUUUCAUAAGUUCAAUCUUUGUAAUAGCUGAGUAAUACUCCAUUGUGUAAAAGUGCCUCAUUUUCUGUAUCUGUUCCUCUGUUGAGGGACAUUUGGUUUCUUUCCAACUUCUGGCUAUUAUAAAUAAGGCUGCUAUGAACAUAGUGGAGCAUGUGUCCUUGUUACCAGUUGGAACAUCUUCUGGAUAUAUACCCAUGAGAGGUAUUGCGGGAUCCUCUGUCCAGUUUUCUGAGGAACAACCAGACUGAUUUUCAGAGAGGACCCAUGGCUCUAGCUGCAUAUGUUGCAAAGGAUGGCCUUAUCUGGCAUCAAUGAGAUGGAAUGCACUUGGUCCUGUGAAGGCUAGAUGCUCCAGUGUAGGGGAAUGCUAGGACGGUGAGGUGGGAGUGCAUGGGUGCGUGGGGAAGUACCCUCAUAGAAUCAGGGGGAAGAAGGAUGGGAUUGGGGGUUUGGGGAAGGUGAACUGGGAAAGGUAUAACAGUUGAAAUGUAAAUGAAUGCAAAAUACAAUAAAAACGAAAUU